Molecule: long non-coding RNA, 462 nt
Filed under: Oryza sativa Indica Group (long-grained rice)
Lineage: Eukaryota; Viridiplantae; Streptophyta; Magnoliopsida; Poales; Poaceae
Description: lncRNA OsMH63_04G026410
Source: RNAcentral
GAUGAACUCCUUGAGCCUCCCCAGGAACAUCACCAGGAUAACUAUCAGCUUACCCUCCUCGGUCCACCUGCCGACGAACCCGGCUGGUUAUCAGCAUUGGCAGUGAGAAAUGAAGCAUCGGAAGGAAGUGGCGUGAAGCCACAGUUUGCGAACGAGGACACUGCUGUGAAGAUGCAAAAGAGCCCUAGCAUUGAUGUGAACACCUCUCCUCCCAUUAGCAUCAGAAGGAUCAGAACCCAGAGUUGCCUGUCAGAUAAGUCUUCCAUCUCUACUGUUGCCAUGCUCGAGACAGUAAGUGUAGACACAGAGGUGAACAAUAGGUCCAAAUCCUUUGGACCUGGCUUACCCUGGGGCUUGAAAUUCUUCAGAGCAAGGAAACCAGCAAAUGAGAUUAUCACAAAAUUGGUCUAUGUGAUUCCCUUCUUCCUGAGCAGUCAAGGAAGUCGCUACACUUGCCAGUGA